GAUGAACGCUGGCGGCGUGCCUAAUACAUGCAAGUAGAACGCUGAAGCUUGGUGCUUGCACCGAGCGGAUGAGUUGCGAACGGGUGAGUAACGCGUAGGUAACCUGCCUCUUAGCGGGGGAUAACUAUUGGAAACGAUAGCUAAUACCGCAUAAAAGUCGAUAUCGCAUGAUAUUGACUUGAAAGGUGCAAUUGCAUCACUAAGAGAUGGACCUGCGUUGUAUUAGCUAGUUGGUGAGGUAACGGCUCACCAAGGCGACGAUACAUAGCCGACCUGAGAGGGUGAUCGGCCACACUGGGACUGAGACACGGCCCAGACUCCUACGGGAGGCAGCAGUAGGGAAUCUUCGGCAAUGGGGGCAACCCUGACCGAGCAACGCCGCGUGAGUGAAGAAGGUUUUCGGAUCGUAAAGCUCUGUUGUAAGAGAAGAACGAGUGUGAGAGUGGAAAGUUCACACUGUGACGGUAACUUACCAGAAAGGGACGGCUAACUACGUGCCAGCAGCCGCGGUAAUACGUAGGUCCCGAGCGUUAUCCGGAUUUAUUGGGCGUAAAGCGAGCGCAGGCGGUUAGAUAAGUCUGAAGUUAAAGGCUGUGGCUUAACCAUAGUACGCUUUGGAAACUGUUUAACUUGAGUGCAGAAGGGGAGAGUGGAAUUCCAUGUGUAGCGGUGAA
RNAcentral lists this ribosomal RNA (674 nucleotides) under uncultured bacterium. RNAcentral describes it as "bacterial SSU rRNA". It matches the Rfam family "Bacterial small subunit ribosomal RNA", at positions 28 to 685 of the family's 1533-position model. The record is from RNAcentral.